RNAcentral lists this long non-coding RNA (1010 nucleotides) under Coturnix japonica (Japanese quail). Its description in RNAcentral is "lncRNA (ENSCJPG00005020863.1)". The record is from RNAcentral. Lineage: Eukaryota; Metazoa; Chordata; Aves; Galliformes; Phasianidae.
UGCCUCUAUGGGGUCUCUUAAGGGUUUCUAUGGGGUGUCUCUAUGUGUCUCUUUGGGUUUCACUGUCCCUUACUGCAAUCCAUGGGGUCUCUAUGGGUCCCAGUGUCCCCCUAUGUGUCCCAAUGUCUCCCUAUGGGUGUCUAUGUGUCCCUAUGUGUCCCAAUGUCCCCCCUAUGGGUUGCUAUGUGCCUCUAUGGGGUCUCUAUGGGGUCUCUUAUGGGUAUCUCUGGGCCCAAAUGUCUUCCUAUGGGUAUCUAUGGGUUUCAAUGUGGUCCUAUGUGUCCCUAUGGGUCUUAAUGGCUCCUAAUGUGUCCCUAUGAGUCUAUAUGUGGUCUCACUGUCCCCCACUGAAAUCCAUGGGGUCCCUAUGUCUCCCUUUGUCCCCAUAUGGGUCCCAGUGUCUUUCUAUGGGUCUCUAUGUGUCCCUAUGUGUCCCUAUGUCCCCCCUAUGGGUUGCUAUGUUCCUCUAUGGGGUCUCUUAUGGGUAUCUAUGGGCUUAAAUGUCCUCCUAUGGGUAUCUAUGGGUUUCAAUGUGGUCCCUAUGUGCCUCUAUGGGGUCUCUUAUGGGUCUCAGCGGGGUCCCUAUGUGUCUCUAUGGGCCUCACUGUCCCUCACUCCGUGUCUAUACAUAAACAGAUACAAACGCUGCACGCAUUAACUAACCGUUUGCAGGUGCAAUCUGGUUUUGGUCUUGAUGACUGGCUUAGAAGUUUAGGUUUAGGCCCCUGGCUUACUUCUCUACUACAGCAUUUGAUUACAAUCGGUCUGGUACUGAUAGCUAUCAUAUUAAUAGUUCCUUGCCUCUUUAAAUGCUUGCAAAAUGCGCUUAUGAGAAUGGUCGACUCAAAAUACAAUGUUUCCUUAGUUGUCCAAAAAGAAAACGGGGGAAAUGUGGAGAAUGUUUAUGCAGAAUGGCUUCAUGAGAAAGGACAUGAAGAGAUUCCACUAGUUAAAUUGUAAAAGAAUGAACGUGACUGAAGACAACGACGGUCUAUCCUAGGGCCGAUCAC